CGCCAGUCUGCAUGGAGCCGACCUUGAAAUACCACCCUUUAAUGUUUGAUGUUCUAACGUGGACCCGUAAUCCGGGUUGCGGACAGUGUCUGGUGGGUAGUUUGACUGGGGCGGUCUCCUCCUAAAGAGUAACGGAGGAGCACGAAGGUUGGCUAAUCCUGGUCGGACAUCAGGAGGUUAGUGCAAUGGUAUAAGCCAGCUUGACUGCGAGCGUGACGGCGCGAGCAGGUGCGAAAGCAGGUCAUAGUGAUCCGGUGGUUCUGAAUGGAAGGGCCAUCGCUCAACGGAUAAAAGGUACUCCGGGGAUAACAGGCUGAUACCGCCCAAGAGUUCAUAUCGACGGCGGUGUUUGGCACCUCGAUGUCGGCUCAUCACAUCCUGGGGCUGAAGUAGGUCCCAAGGGUAUGGCUGUUCGCCAUUUAAAGUGGUACGCGAGCUGGGUUUAGAACGUCGUGAGACAGUUCGGUCCCUAUCUGCCGUGGGCGCUGGAGAAUUGAGGGGGGCUGCUCCUAGUACGAGAGGACCGGAGUGGACGCAUCACUGGUGUUCGGGUUGUCAUGCCAAUGGCACUGCCCGGUAGCUAAAUGCGGAAGAGAUAAGUGCUGAAAGCAUCUAAGCACGAAACUUGCCCCGAGAUGAGUUCUCCCUGACUCCUUGAGAGUCCUGAAGGAACGUUGAAGACGACGACGUUGAUAGGCCGGGUGUGUAAGCGCAGCGAUGCGUUGAGCUAACCGGUACUAAUGAACCGUGAGGCUUAACCUUACAACGCCGAAG
RNAcentral lists this ribosomal RNA (774 nucleotides) under Escherichia coli. RNAcentral's name for it is "partial 23S ribosomal RNA". It matches the Rfam family "Bacterial large subunit ribosomal RNA", at positions 2169 to 2925 of the family's 2925-position model. The record is from RNAcentral. Lineage: Bacteria; Pseudomonadati; Pseudomonadota; Gammaproteobacteria; Enterobacterales; Enterobacteriaceae.